GCUGCGGGCGGGCCCGCCGCUGCACCACCACCCGCCCGAUUUCCUAGAGAACCUCCGUGAGACUCAACGCCAGAGGCUCCAGCCGCGCACUCCACCCCCAUUACCCCCCAAACCGGCGCAACGCACCGCGCCCACAGUCGUCUGAGCCCCAGCGACCGCCCAGCUGUGGGCGUGGGAUACACACACCGUGGGAAACGGACAGCUUAGGAGCUGGCCUCGUAGCCAAGAGGAAUGUACUCUAUAUGCAGGGUCGGAUUUAGGGAGGGGCAUCCGAUGCCAAUGCCCCGGGGCCUCGACAAAAGAAGGACUACCAUAACAAACUUCAGAAAACAAAAACUUUCAACUUUCGACGAGUACAACUACGAACAAUAAUAUUGUUUUUAAAUAUAAAAAAGAAACAUCUUUUAAUAAAGAAACUCGUGUGAAAAA
Molecule: long non-coding RNA, 429 nt
Organism: Melitaea cinxia (Glanville fritillary)
Lineage: Eukaryota; Metazoa; Arthropoda; Insecta; Lepidoptera; Nymphalidae
Exons: 2
Source: RefSeq, a predicted model, not a curated record